RNAcentral lists this unclassified non-coding RNA (1410 nucleotides) under Drosophila erecta. RNAcentral describes it as "GG12864". The record is from RNAcentral. Lineage: Eukaryota; Metazoa; Arthropoda; Insecta; Diptera; Drosophilidae.
AGGCCCGAUGAGCUCAGACAUCGGCAGACGCAUGCUAUCGAUAACGGUCUUGUUUAUUAAUGAAUUAAUUAGUUAGUCGAAGUUAACUAAAAAAAAUACGACAAGCAGCAAAAUCAGCGAAGUCUGCGUGCCCAAGUGGAGUACCCCAACGAAAAGAGGCAGCGCAAAAGUGCAAGAUCAAGACGCAGUCGAAGGCCAGGCAACAAGGCACAGCAACGCAACAAAGACGCAAGCGAAGAAGAAAAGCAUGAGCUGAGGCUGUCGUCGCCAGCAAGCAAGGGAAUCGCGCGGACAAUAAGAGCAGGACAGGAGCAGGGCAGGAGCAGGAGCACCAAAGGAGCACCAACCCAGCGGAGCACCCGAACCGCAGCAGCGGCACCACCACCAUGAGCACGGUGUUCAUAAACUCGCGAAAGAGCCCCAACGUGCUGAAAAAACAAGGCACCGACCAGUGGGUCAAGCUGAACGUGGGCGGCACCUACUUCCUCACUACCAAGACGACGCUCUCCCGUGACCCAAAUUCGUUCCUCUCCCGUCUGAUUCAGGAGGACUGCGACUUGAUAUCGGAUCGGGACGAGACAGGAGCCUACCUAAUCGACAGAGACCCCAAAUACUUUGCACCCGUGCUCAACUAUCUGCGCCACGGCAAGCUGGUGCUCGAUGGCGUCUCCGAGGAAGGCGUCCUGGAGGAGGCCGAGUUCUACAACGUGACGCAGCUGAUAGCGCUGCUGAAGGAGUGCAUCCUGCACAGGGAUCAGCGACCCCAUGCGGAUAAGAAGCGCGUUUAUCGUGUGCUGCAGUGCCGCGAGCAAGAACUAACCCAGAUGAUCUCAACGCUGUCGGAUGGCUGGAGGUUCGAGCAGCUCAUCAACAUGCAGUACACGAACUACGGGUCCUUCGACAACAAUGAGUUCCUGUGCGUGGUCUCCAAAGAGUGUGGCACGACGGCCGGGCGGGAGCUGGAGCUGAACGACCGGGCCAAGGUCCUGCAGCAGAAGGGAUCGCGAAUUCUUGGAAUUUAAUCGCGCUAUGUAUUCACAUACAACCCCUGAAAAUUGAAAUACCGAACUCCUUUUCAUCAACAAACAACUCAUUCCCAAUCAGUAACACCAUCAGCCAUACCGACCCAACACAAAUUGGAUGCAGCCAAGGAAGCCCGAGCCACAGCCACAGCCACAUCACCCACCACAAGCCACACCACACGCGAUCAGAUCAGACUCAGCCACAGGCACAGGCAUAGGCACAGAUCACCCACCAAGAUCAGCCGGAAUCACCAAAGCAGAGCCCGCAGGGAGACUUCGCUUCAUUUGCAUUCGAGACAAAGUUAACAGGAUGUACUCACACCCCCUCUACACAGCCUGUAUCCCGUACCUUGUACCCUGUACCCUGUAUCCUGUAUCUUGUAUCCUG